Molecule: ribosomal RNA, 384 nt
Filed under: uncultured bacterium
Lineage: Bacteria
Description: bacterial SSU rRNA
Rfam family: Bacterial small subunit ribosomal RNA
Source: RNAcentral
UUAGAUACCCUGGUAGUCCACACAGUAAACGAUGAAUACUCGCUGUUUGCGAUAUACAGUAAGCGGCCAAGCGAAAGCAUUAAGUAUUCCACCUGGGGAGUACGCCGGCAACGGUGAAACUCAAAGGAAUUGACGGGGGCCCGCACAAGCGGAGGAACAUGUGGUUUAAUUCGAUGAUACGCGAGGAACCUUACCCGGGCUUAAAUUGCACCUGAAUAACGUGGAAACAUGUUAGCCGCAAGGCAGGAUGUGAAGGUGCUGCAUAGGUUGUCGUCAGCUCGUGCCGUGAGGUGUCGGCUUAAGUGCCAUAACGAGCGCAACCCUUAUCUUUAGUUACUAACAGGUCAUGCUGAGGACUCUAGAGAGACUGCCGUCGUAAGAUGU